UACGGGGGGGGCAAGCGUUGUUCGGAAUUACUGGGCGUAAAGGGCUCGUAGGCGGCCAACUAAGUCGGAUGUGAAAUCCCCAAGCUUAACUUGGGAACUGCAUCCGAUACUGGAUGGCUUGAAUCCGGGAGAGGGAUGCAGAAUUCCAGGUGUAGCGGUGAAAUGCGUAGAUAUCUGGAGGAAUACCGGUGGCGAAGGCGGCAUCCUGGACCGGCAUUGACGCUGAGACGCGAAAGCGUGGGGAGCAAACAGG
RNAcentral lists this ribosomal RNA (253 nucleotides) under uncultured bacterium. Its description in RNAcentral is "partial 16S ribosomal RNA". It matches the Rfam family "Bacterial small subunit ribosomal RNA", at positions 524 to 776 of the family's 1533-position model. The record is from RNAcentral.